GCGGGAGCGCGCCCGGGCGGGCUGCCCCGCCGGUCGGGAGAGGGGGUGGGGAGGCGGCGAGGAAAAGUAAAGUGACAGCUGGGUCCCGCGCGCAGACUGGGCUCUGACGGGCCGGGCACGCGCAUUAAAGGGAAACGCCGGCUGGGGGUUAGGGGUUACCCCAAGACGGUGCAGGCAGUGGGACGAGGAGGCCUUUUACCCCCAUCCACCGCAGCCCUUGACUUCACGCUCGCCUCGAAGCUUUCGCAAUCGCAGACGCGUGGGGCUCGCAUGUACCCAAGACAGGAAAACUUCACGUUGGCCUGGAAACUUCUUCCAGGCUAAGCCUGAGUCUUCACCAGACACUGCAGCACGAAGGCCCUUCUGCCUUUUGGCUCGCCCUGGCCCAGAAUGCGCACCAGCCGGUAGAGAGGAGCUUCGGGCCGUUUAGCCCUGGGGCAAGAGAAAGAGGCCCACUGCAAUAUGCUGUGAAGAAUACAUAAGAAGUCAAACUGUUGACCUCUUUUCCCCAGCCCGUUCCAAAACUACAUCCCUGAGGAGUUGUGCACCUCUACGGAAAGUUCAGAUGAAAGAGCUAAUUCCCCUUGAUCUCUCUUCUUGUUCAGAGUGGAGGAAAAACAUAUACCAUCCCUUCCAUCAAUCCUCAGCAUAACUUUGCCAGGGACACUGGUAACAAGCUACUUUUACCUCAGAAGUUGGAGAGUAUCACUUGACCCACAUUGUGUAUGUGUAAAUAUCUUUAUUCAGUGUAUAUACAAUAUAUUCUUAAUUUGACUCUCAA
Molecule: long non-coding RNA, 781 nt
Filed under: Homo sapiens (human)
Lineage: Eukaryota; Metazoa; Chordata; Mammalia; Primates; Hominidae
Description: long non-coding RNA NONHSAT195491.1
Source: RNAcentral